This 513-nucleotide ribosomal RNA is filed under the name uncultured microorganism. RNAcentral's name for it is "bacterial SSU rRNA". It matches the Rfam family "Bacterial small subunit ribosomal RNA", at positions 9 to 524 of the family's 1533-position model. The record is from RNAcentral.
GAGUUUGAUCGUGGCUCAGGAUGAACGCUGGCGGCGUGCUUAACACAUGCAAGUCGAGCGGAGCACAUCGUUGGAAUCCUUCGGGAGGAAGAAGGUGUGGCUUAGCGGCGGACGGGUGAGUAACGCGUGGACAACCUGCCCUAUGCAGGGGGAUAACAUCCGGAAACGGGUGCUAAUACCGCAUAAGCGCACAGUACCGCAUGGUACGGUGUGAAAAGCUGAGGCGGCAUAGGAUGGGUCCGCGUUGGAUUAGGCAGUUGGCGGGGUAACGGCCCACCAAACCGACGAUCCAUAGCCGGCCUGAGAGGGUGGACGGCCACAUUGGGACUGAGACACGGCCCAGACUCCUACGGGAGGCAGCAGUGGGGAAUAUUGCACAAUGGGGGGAACCCUGAUGCAGCGACGCCGCGUGGUGAGGAAGUACUUCGGUAUGUAAAGCCAUAUCAGCAGGGAAGAAAAUGACGGUACCUGACUAAGAAGCCCGGCUAACUACGUGCCAGCAGCCGCGGUAAC